Long non-coding RNA from Morus notabilis, 1120 nucleotides. RefSeq lists it as uncharacterized. The record is from RefSeq and is a predicted model, not a curated record. NCBI's taxonomy places the organism in Eukaryota, Viridiplantae, Streptophyta, Magnoliopsida, Rosales, Moraceae. The transcript has 4 exons.
UUUUCUUCAAUUUCAAAACUCUAUAACUCACUCAUUCUUAAUCGGAAUUGAGUGAUUCUUGUUCCUAUGAGUUCACAAUGAAGAGAGGGACGAAAUGAUAUCCAUAUUGCUCAUGGAAAUCUGCCAUGCCCGGUAGCUCGCCGUGAGCCGCCAUCUCCGGCAGUGGAGGUUGACACCACUUGCUUCAAAAUGUUGAGGACGACGUCGGGAUGCUAAGCCCUCAAGAAAUUUUAAGGAAAGAGCUUCUAUGUUUGAGGCUUGAAGUUGUCCUCUUCAGCUAUAGCAACUGCAAUGCUUAAUCUGAUACCGGCAAUCACCAUUUUAAUGGCAACUGUUGUUGGAUUGGAGAAAAUAAAUCUACGAAGCUUUAGAAGCGUUGAUCAAUCACAAAAUUGGCAACAUCCUCGAAAUCAAUCCUAACGAGCCUCGAUGGAGUUGAGAAUAUGCCACCUUGGCUGCUUAUUUCUCUUCAUAAGUUGCUGUUGCAAUUCAUUUUGGAUUGUUAUGCAGGUUAAAGUUAAAAUGGAAUAAAAAGAGUGAGAAUUUGACUUCUGAACAUAUUUUAGUAUUUUGGCCAUAUCUCUCUCAUCUGAAGUUUAAAUGAGGUGAUCUUAAUGGCGUUGGAAAGAUAAGAGAUAGAGCUACAACUUUCGUGAAGACACCAAACACUAAUUCGGCCAUAGAAGGCAAAAAUCUCCCUCAAAGUCAGACACCCGUUGCACUGAGAAAUCCAUCCGCUGCAGCGGAUUUCCUACCAGAGACCAGUCCAAAAUGCGCGUUGUAGCGCCCAUUUGUAUUCCCACUCAUCCGCUGCAAUAGAAAAUGGUCCGCCGCAACGGUCGUGCCAGUUCCGCUAGGAUUUUUUGAGAAAAACCUAGCGGCGUUGCAGUGGGAAAGUGAUCCGCUGCAACGCAUGUGCACGAGAUGCUGUCAUUUUAGAGUUGAUAUAAAAGGCAAAUGGGCUGAAAAUAAAGGUGGAGAGGAAGAGAGGAAAAAGAGGCACAAAAUCUCUAGAGAAGAAGGAACUUUGGAGGCUCAAAUUUCAUGAUUUCGUUGAAGAUCCUUGAAGAAGAUGGUGGAUUCAAGCUUAGAAGAUCAUUCUUCCAGCAUAGUUAUUCCU